ACGCUGGCGGCGUGCCUAAUACAUGCAAGUAGAACGCUGAAGGAGGAGCUUGCUUCUCCGGAUGAGUUGCGAACGGGUGAGUAACGCGUAGGUAACCUGCCUGGUAGCGGGGGAUAACUAUUGGAAACGAUAGCUAAUACCGCAUAAGAGUAGAUGUUGCAUGACAUUUGCUUAAAAGGUGCAAUUGCAUCACUACCAGAUGGACCUGCGUUGUAUUAGCUAGUUGGUGGGGUAACGGCUCACCAAGGCGACGAUACAUAGCCGACCUGAGAGGGUGAUCGGCCACACUGGGACUGAGACACGGCCCAGGCUCCUACGGGAGGCAGCAGUAGGGAAUCUUCGGCAAUGGACGGAAGUCUGACCGAGCAACGCCGCGUGAGUGAAGAAGGUUUUCGGAUCGUAAAGCUCUGUUGUAAGAGAAGAACGAGUGUGAGAGUGGAAAGUUCACACUGUGACGGUAUCUUACCAGAAAGGGACGGCUAACUACGUGCCAGCAGCCGCGGUAAUACGUAGGUCCCGAGCGUUGUCCGGAUUUAUUGGGCGUAAAGCGAGCGCAGGCGGUUAGAUAAGUCUGAAGUUAAAGGCUGUGGCUUAACCAUAGUACGCUUUGGAAACUGUUUAACUUGAGUGCAAGAGGGGAGAGUGGAAUUCCAUGUGUAGCGGUGAAAUGCGUAGAUAUAUGGAGGAACACCGGUGGCGAAAGCGGCUCUCUGGCUUGUAACUGACGCUGAGGCUCGAAAGCGUGGGGAGCAAACAGGAUUAGAUACCCUGGUAGUCCACGCCGUAAACGAUGAGUGCUAGGUGUUAGACCCUUUCCGGGGUUUAGUGCCGCAGCUAACGCAUUAAGCACUCCGCCUGGGGAGUACGACCGCAAGGUUGAAACUCAAAGGAAUUGACGGGGGCCCGCAC
RNAcentral lists this ribosomal RNA (909 nucleotides) under uncultured bacterium. Its description in RNAcentral is "bacterial SSU rRNA". It matches the Rfam family "Bacterial small subunit ribosomal RNA", at positions 33 to 926 of the family's 1533-position model. The record is from RNAcentral.